This 491-nucleotide ribosomal RNA is filed under the name uncultured bacterium. RNAcentral describes it as "partial 16S ribosomal RNA". It matches the Rfam family "Bacterial small subunit ribosomal RNA", at positions 28 to 507 of the family's 1533-position model. The record is from RNAcentral.
GAUGAACGCUGGCUACAGGCUUAACACAUGCAAGUCGAGGGGAAACGACGGGGAAGCUUGCUUCCCCGGGCGUCGACCGGCGCACGGGUGAGUAACGCGUAUCCAACCUGCCUCUGACUGAGGGAUAACCCGUCGAAAGUCGGCCUAAUACCUCAUGGCAUCGUCUGCGGGCAUCCAACGACGAUUAAAGAUUUCAUCGGUCAGAGAUGGGGAUGCGUCUGAUUAGCUUGUUGGCGGGGUAACGGCCCACCAAGGCGACGAUCAGUAGGGGUUCUGAGAGGAAGGUCCCCCACAUUGGAACUGAGACACGGUCCAAACUCCUACGGGAGGCAGCAGUGAGGAAUAUUGGUCAAUGGGCGAGAGCCUGAACCAGCCAAGUAGCGUGCAGGAGGACGGCCCUAUGGGUUGUAAACUGCUUUUAUGCGGGGAUAAAGUGAGGGACGUGUCCUUCAUUGCAGGUACCGCAUGAAUAAGAACCGGCUAAUUCCGUG